GUGCAUUGAAAUGCCCGUCCGGUUUGACAGCGGCUGUUUGCAGAGAUUAUGAAGUGGUCCUGGUAUCAUUUGGGCAGAAAUGCUAAAGAGAUAGGAAUUGGGGAUAGGGUCAAAGUGGCGAGAUCUUGGCCCUUGAUCUGAACAAAUUAAUAUUUAAUUGUUAAUGUGAUAUUAAUCUAGGAUUACAAUUCAAAUUUUAAUUUAAAUCAAAAUAAUUAAUUAAUUUUAAUCACAUAUUUCAAAUACACAUUUUAUCAAUUUUUAAUCUAUAAAGCAUUCGAUUUUAAUCUCCAGCAAACAGAUUCUAGAUAAAAAGUAACUUUUAAAAAAUAUGCUUAACAAAUUAUGUAAUUUAAAAAAGAAAAAUUGAACUUAGUCAGCUAACCACAGUGAAUGGUAGGUAGAUGUUUCUAGAACGAGUCUACUAAAAAUUAGGACUGAACAACGAAAUUGUUAAAUCGUCAAAUUGAAAAAAAAAAUCGCUUUUUCAAAAUCGUUAGUUUAGUCCUUGUAGAUUCG
This 519-nucleotide long non-coding RNA is filed under the name Olea europaea (common olive). RNAcentral describes it as "long non-coding RNA (OEUR_LNC009345)". Lineage: Eukaryota; Viridiplantae; Streptophyta; Magnoliopsida; Lamiales; Oleaceae. The record is from RNAcentral.